UGAGGGGGGCUGCUCCUAGUACGAGAGGACCGGAGUGGACGCAUCACUGGUGUUCGGGUUGUCAUGCCAAUGGCACUGCCCGGUAGCUAAAUGCGGAAGAGAUAAGUGCUGAAAGCAUCUAAGCACGAAACUUGCCCCGAGAUGAGUUCUCCCUGACUCCUUGAGAGUCCUGAAGGAACGUUGAAGACGACGACGUUGAUAGGCCGGGUGUGUAAGCGCAGCGAUGCGUUGAGCUAACCGGUACUAAUGAACCGUGAGGCUCAACCUUACAACGCCGAAGGUGUUU
Molecule: ribosomal RNA, 286 nt
Filed under: Escherichia coli
Lineage: Bacteria; Pseudomonadati; Pseudomonadota; Gammaproteobacteria; Enterobacterales; Enterobacteriaceae
Description: partial 23S ribosomal RNA
Rfam family: Bacterial large subunit ribosomal RNA
Source: RNAcentral